GACGAACGCUGGCGGCGUGCUUAACACAUGCAAGUCGAACGGAAAGGCCCUGCUUUUGUGGGGUGCUCGAGUGGCGAACGGGUGAGUAACACGUGAGUAACCUGCCCUUGACUUUGGGAUAACUUCAGGAAACUGGGGCUAAUACCGGAUAGGAGCUCCUGCUGCAUGGUGGGGGUUGGAGAGUUUCGGCGGUUGGGGAUGGACUCGCGGCUUAUCAGCUUGUUGGUGGGGUAGUGGCUGACCAAGGCUUUGACAGGUAGCCGGCCUGGGAGGGUGACCGGCCACGUUGGGACGGGGAUACGGCACAGACUCCUACGGGACGCAGCAGUGGGGAAUAUUGCACAAUGGGCGGAAGGCUGAUGCAGUAACGCCGCGUGCGGGAUGACGGCCUUCGGGUUGUAAACCGCUUUCGCCUGUGACGAAGAGUGAGUGACGGUAAUGGGUAAAGAAGCACCGGCUAACUACGUG
RNAcentral lists this ribosomal RNA (468 nucleotides) under uncultured bacterium. RNAcentral describes it as "partial 16S ribosomal RNA". It matches the Rfam family "Bacterial small subunit ribosomal RNA", at positions 28 to 507 of the family's 1533-position model. The record is from RNAcentral.